RNAcentral lists this ribosomal RNA (109 nucleotides) under Propithecus coquereli (Coquerel's sifaka). Lineage: Eukaryota; Metazoa; Chordata; Mammalia; Primates; Indriidae. The record is from RNAcentral.
GUCUACAGCCAUACCACCCUGAAUGCACGUGAUCUCUUCUAAUCUCAGAAGCUAAGCAGGGUCGGGCCUGGUUAGUACUUGGAUGGGAGGAAAGUGACAAUUGCAGAAA